GAUGAAGAACGUAGCGAAAUGCGAUAAGUAAUGCGAAUUGCAGAAUUCAGUGAGUCAUCGAAUCUUUGAACGCACAUUGCGCCCUGUGGUAUUCCGCAGGGCAUGCCUGUUCGAGCGUCAUUUCAACCCUCAAGCCCCGCUUGGUGUUGGGCCCCGCCCGCCGUGGCCGGCCCUAAAGACAGUGGCGGCGCCGCCUGGCCCUCAGCGUAGUACAGCUCUCGCUCCAGGGUCCGGCGGCCGCCUGCCAGAACCCCCCCAACUCUGUGGUUGACCUCGGAUCAGGUAGGGAUACCCGCUGAACUUAAGCAUAUCAAUAAGCGUAGGA
Molecule: unclassified non-coding RNA, 325 nt
Filed under: soil metagenome
Description: partial contains 5.8S ribosomal RNA, internal transcribed spacer 2, and large subunit ribosomal RNA
Rfam family: 5.8S ribosomal RNA (bases 1-120)
Source: RNAcentral